AACCCUUCAGUCUCAUGUGGGGAAUAUGAAGAUAUUUAAGCAAAAUGUGUAUGAUAUAAUUGAGACUCAACAAAUUAAUUAUCCUUCCCUUUUAUCAUAUUCCAGGGAGAACCUAGCCCAAGAAUAUUGGGCAAAAAAUAGAGUAGAAUUUGGAUGAGUGUCAUCUAGAGAGUUUCGAUCCUAAAGUUGAUUGGUGAAGAAAGAUCUCACAGAUAUUUAGCCCGAGUUUACUGUGUAGUUGAUUAGCCUUCUGCUUCAUGUCGUCUUUCCCCAAAUGGCUUAACAUAAAUAGACUAAAUAACAGUGAACUGUAUUUCACUGGCUCUCUUGGUUAUCAAGACCUUUCAGGGAUGGCAAUAUAUAGAACAUGUUGUAUCGGGAUUGUUUCACAGUUGAAAUGGAGACUCUGAAGUUUUUGUUAGACUAUUUCAGUUCAAACUUCACCGAAGAUCCUCAGAAGCUGGUGUACUGUAGUGAGCUGAUAGCUGGUGGUCCAGCUCAGGUUCACAGUUACACACACACAGUGUUAGGUCUCAAUUACUGGCAUGUCUAACUAUUCUCUGAGAUGACCUCACAGAAUUCAUAGGCAGAGCCUAAGAUUCUCCUGUGCACCACACACACGGAAGCAUUAAUGAAUUCUGAUGACGAAGGCAGCUUGUUCCCCAGGAAACAAAUAAUCUAAUGAUAAUAUUUAUAGCAAUAGCAGUAGUUUAUUGGGUGAUAUCUAUAUUGCAGUAGUAUACAAAUUUCUUAUGAACUCCAUUUUAUAGGUAAAUAAAUCAAGAUUGGGAAAAGAUUACAUAGAUUGUUCUAAAUAAGCAGCAACUGAGGAAACAUGAAUUAUGUAUAUUUUCUGAAUCCAAAGCCUGAUCUCUUAACCACCUCAUUUGUAGCCGUAGGAAAACCGGCCUCUUCUUAUGGAACUCAAAAUGAUUAGAGGUCAAGAGGUGACUAAUUCCUUUAUCUUCUGACUCUUCUCUUCCAUUCAGUUAACCCACAGAAACUCAAAAACAUUCAAAGGCUCUCAUUGCCUAGUGAAUCAAGUAAAGUUCCUUAAAGUUUUUGUAAUAUGAUCCCAACCUGAGUUUCCAAAAAGCUUCCAGGGCUCCCCUGCAUGCAAUAGUUUAAUUGGACUAUUUACCGUCUUCAGAGCCUGCUAUGGGGCUUCCCCACAUUUCUUGUUUAUAAUAAUAGUCCCUCAGCCUGAAUGACACCAUUCUAUCAGUGAAAUGCUCAAUUAUUUUUCAAGUAUCAGGUUAAAUUCUCUCUUGUCUAAGAGACCUUACCCGAACCCUAGAAUCAGAUGGUAUCUCCCUCAUUUUAGCACCCGUAGCUCUUACUAUCACUUUGCACCAUAUUAUAGCAGAGAGUGUCAUGUGGAAUCCUGCACAUCCUCAGUUGAUAUUCACUCAUCCCUUACUUGUUAGGUAAAUGAUUCACUUUUUCUGAGCCUCCAUAUCUUCUUAGAUGUAUAAUAUUAUAAACCAUAAUACAGGGCUCGUAGAGAUGAAACUCUUUUCCAACAGGUAGAAUACUACCUCCAUAGGGGAUAACUGAAACUGUGUAUAAGUCAUUUAUUUAUCACAAUGACUAGCAGGCAUUAACUGGCAUUAGUGACAAGAGGCCAGAGAUCUUGCCAUGUGUGUGACAGGCCCACACAUGGAAGAUUAUCCAAAUACUAAAUGCUCCCAGUAUGGCGGAGGUGGGUGGGAUGAGGUGGUGGUGAUAAAAGAAAAGUCAUCUUCAGGUUAGCUAUUGUCCAUUUAUUAAGGGAGGACUCAAAGAAUGGACUUAGUAAUGCAGAUAUCAGGUGAGAAAACUCCUGGAAAAGAUACAACUGUGUAUUUUAUGACCUGAUAAACUUUUGAUCCUCUCCAAAUCCAUUAUUAUGGAGAACUGAUCUCUCAGGAGUAGGUUAGUAACUUUCCGAGAAGCCAGGUAGAUAGUACAACAGUAAUUUAGAUAGAGGCACAUAGGUUACAGUUGGACUAAAACCUAUAUCCUCAGAAAAAGGCAAUGACUUAGAAAACAGCAGCAUGUCAGACAGAGGGAAUAUCAGUUAUGAAAGGUAGAAAGUAGAAAUAAACUCAUCAUAUUCCUCCAACAUAAGACCAACGUGGCUGGAACAUUAUAAAUAAAUAGGGAGGUGGUGUCACAUGAUGUUAAAUCAGCGAAUAGAGUAGGUCAUGGAUUUUCUUCUGAAUUCAAGAAUGGUGACUGAAAGGCAUACAAACAUCAGGGUGACAUAAUUGGAUUUUCUAAUUUAAAUAUUCAUUCUUGAUCUUUUGUGGAGUGUUGAUUGGAGGAAAGAUACAUGGCAAUAAACUAUUAGGGAGCCAUUCUAAUAAAUCAGAUAAAAAUGUUGAUACUUAAACCAAUACAGUAUCUGUAGAUAUGAGAAGUGUGUGGUUCUGGACAUACCAUAUUUUGGAGAUAGGCAAAAAGUUUGGUGGUGGAUGGAUGGAAUGUGUAAAGUAUAAGAAAACCAAGAAUUAAGAAGAAUUUUAAAGGAUUGUGAUAUACUGAGAACAUGUGGGCACCAAAAAUUUUAGUGAGAAUGUAAAAUGAUAGGCUUUGGCUAUCUUAAGGUGAAAUCAUAAUUAUAGUAAAUUUGGGUGUAAAUUACAGGGUCGGGUAUCAGUUGGGUCUAAGAGGAGAACUCAAACUAUAUAUAAAAUGUGCAAGCUAGCAUAUGUAGAACCUAGUGAGAGUGUAGAAAUAUUAAAAUAAAAUAUCCCAGAUUGAGUUUUAAACCUUUCAGGCUUCAGAGUUGGCGUAGGGAAAAAGAAUCAACAAAAGAUAUUUAGAAGGAACAGUUAGAAUACAGCAAAAGAAAAACAAAGAGAAGGGAUAUCACAAAAGCCUGGAAAUGAAAGUGUUUCAAGAAAGACAGUGUGGUCAGCUCCGCUGAAAGCUACUCAGUGGUCAAGUAAGAUGAGUGCAGAAAAAUGACCAUUGCAUCCAUGAAUAUGGCACCAUUAAUAAAAAGUAUUUUCUGAGGAGUGGAUUUGAAGGUGGCCACAUUGGAAUUGGUUAAAGGGUGGCUAGGACUUUCAGCUCUGAAAAAAAUGACAGAUUAAAGUAUUGUGGAAGAUGUUUAGAGAUGCCUAACUUCCUAGAGUUAUGUUUUAUAACAUUAAAGAACAGAAGUCACAAAAAAGAUAGGGCUGCACUCAGAACUGAAUCACGGAAUGGUCUCCACAAGAACUGAUAUUGUGGUUGCCCUUUGGAAGGUGUUGUUAGUAACAAUUGAAUUACAAAGACAGGGACAUGGGCUUCCAAGCUGAUAAUAUAAUAUUAAAAUACUUGUUUAAAUUUAGCACCCAUGAAGGGCUACAUCUCAGAAAGAGUGGUUUUGUGUGAC
Molecule: long non-coding RNA, 3364 nt
Filed under: Sus scrofa (pig)
Lineage: Eukaryota; Metazoa; Chordata; Mammalia; Artiodactyla; Suidae
Description: lncRNA (ENSSSCG00000058865.1)
Source: RNAcentral